AUGCACAUAGCAAGGGUAGAAAUGGGGAAUCAUCUGAGAUCUCAGAAAUGUUUUCUUUCACUUGAUUAUAUGCUACAAGAAGAAAGCAGCCAAAGCAAAAUUACAGGCAAGCAAGUACGGAGACCGACUGACAAAAGCUUCCUGGAGCUGGAACUUGUGCCGCACAUCCAUGGACAAAAACAUGGAGGCUCUGAUAAAAAUCCAAGCACCCUGGCUGCUGAAUCUCACAAACUUUUCCAGGUGCCUUUUCAGUUUGAGCAGAUGAAAAGACUGAUGAAAAUCCAAAGAGCAACAAAAAACAGAGGAGAAAAACAGAGCUACCUGAUAGAACAGAAGCAGAGGCAGUGUUUAAGUGGAGGGAGGGAUUGA
RNAcentral lists this ribosomal RNA (369 nucleotides) under Triticum aestivum (bread wheat). Its description in RNAcentral is "partial small subunit ribosomal RNA". The record is from RNAcentral. Lineage: Eukaryota; Viridiplantae; Streptophyta; Magnoliopsida; Poales; Poaceae.